This 468-nucleotide ribosomal RNA is filed under the name uncultured bacterium. RNAcentral describes it as "partial 16S ribosomal RNA". It matches the Rfam family "Bacterial small subunit ribosomal RNA", at positions 28 to 507 of the family's 1533-position model. The record is from RNAcentral.
GACGAACGCUGGCGGCGUGCUUAACACAUGCAAGUCGAACGGAAAGGCCCUGCUUUUGUGGGGUGCUCGAGUGGCGAACGGGUGAGUAACACGUGAGUAACCUGCCCUUGACUUUGGGAUAACUUCAGGAAACUGGGGCUAAUACCGGAUAGGAGCUCCUGCUGCAUGGUGGGGGCUGGAAAGUUUCGGCGGUUGGGGAUGGACUCGCGGCUUAUCAGCUUGUUGGUGGGGUAGUGGCUUACCAAGGCUUUGACGGGUAGCCGGCCUGAGAGGGUGACCGGCCACAUUGGGACUGAGAUACGGCCCAGACGCCUACGGGAGGCAGCAGUGGGGAAUAUUGCACAAUGGGCGGAAGCCUGAUGCAGCAACGCCGCGUGCGGGAUGACGGCCUUCGGGUUGUAAACCGCUUUCGCCUGUGACGAAGCGUGAGUGACGGUAAUGGGUAAAGAAGCACCGGCUAACUACGUG